CUGGCGGCGCGCCUAACACAUGCAAGUCGAACGAGAACGGAUUCAGCAAUGGGUCCUAGUAAAGUGGCGAACGGGUGAGUAACACGUGGGUAAUCUACCUUCUAAUGGGGGAUAACCCGGGGAAACCUGGGCUAAUACCGCAUAAUAUCCGCAAGGAUCAAAGGAGCAAUUCGUUAGAAGAUGAGCCCGCGGCCGAUUAGCUAGUUGGCGGGGUAAUGGCCCACCAAGGCUUUGAUCGGUAGCCGGUCUGAGAGGACGCACGGCCACACUGGAACUGAAACACGGUCCAGACUCCUACGGGAGGCAGCAGUGGGGAAUCUUGCACAAUGGGGGAAACCCUGAUGCAGCGACGCCGCGUGAGUGAUGAAGCUCUUCGGAGUGUAAAGCUCUUUCGGCAGGGAAGAAUUAAGACGGUACCUGCAAAAGAAGCCCCGGCUAACUACGUGCCAGCAGCCGCGGUAAUACGUAGGGGGCCAGCGUUGUUCGGAAUUACUGGGCGUAAAGAGAGCGUANGUGGUGUGGUGUGUCUGGUGUGAAAUC
Molecule: ribosomal RNA, 540 nt
Filed under: uncultured bacterium
Lineage: Bacteria
Description: bacterial SSU rRNA
Rfam family: Bacterial small subunit ribosomal RNA
Source: RNAcentral